UUCUUUCUUUGCUGCGUUAGGCAGGCGACUGCAGGGGCUGUUGAGAGCCUCCGACUCCAUUAAUAACUUGUGCAGUGGGGACCUAUUAUGCAAGUCCUGAAACCUGAGAGCCAGUCACCUGUUCUGCUACCUGAGCCCGAGCCCUGGGGACGGAGGAGGAGAGAAGGACAGCCUCGCUCGAGCUGCCUGCCUGGAGGACUCUACUCGAAUGAAGGAGGCCUUAAGAGGCCUUGUCAGCUGAGAGGAGCUCCCACUGGAGCUUGAGAAAAGACCACAGCUACCUGAUGACUGCACUCAUCCGUUAUACUCCUGACUGAGCUCAGGACAGCUCGCGUGGCUGAAGUUUGCUGGAAGAAGCGGUUUUAUCUGUUCCAACAAGAGGGGAAAAAGUUAAUGCCUUAGUCUUGACACUCUGCUUUGCAGAUGAAAAAGUGAAAGACAGCCGGUCAAUGUCAGUGGGUUUCCACAGCUGGAGAUUCCCAAGCCUUUCGACAUCAAUGAGCCCUCAAGUAAAGACAUCACCGCUUCACUGCACAGGAAUGUCCUGUCAUGGGGUGUGUGGUGGGGGCAAGAGGCGAAGGAGAGUGUGUCUCUUAGAGCAAUAACACAGUCCGCCUACUCUCAGACUGCAGAUAGUGGAUCCUUCAGUGGAGUUUCCAACUUGUUCAAGACUGCAACUGUCCCAGGGAAAGAGUGCACAGGCAGCAUUUUCUUCCUUAACCAUCACAGGCCGGAAGGUCCAACCAUCACCUUCUGUCUUGCAGGAGUUUUUGUGUCCAUCUACUCCAACACGGCCUGUGAAUGUAUCAACUCUUCCAGAACUACCAGAAACCUUUGGAAAAAGAACUGUAUCCAUACCCACCAUGAGAGUCUCCAACUCCCAACCGGACCUGAGCCGACAGAAUCCUACUGUCUUGAAGCCAAAUGAGUUCAGACAGGCCUACUCACCAGCUGAUGGAUUGGCAGUGAGAGAUCCAGGAAAGAGGAAAGCACAUCUUGUACAAUGCAGAGUGAGCUGCACAGACGAGGGCAGAAAGCAGGAAGUGAAAGGUGGCUCAGUAAUGAACCUGUUUUCCUCACAGCCUUCUUACCGAUCUUGUAUCCAUCAUGAGGUGCCUCUGAGGUGCUCCAGCUCCGUUGUGUUUUUGGACAAGUCACUUUGUAUUUCUCUUGACGAACUGGAGGGAAGAAGAGCAGGUCAGCCCACUUUAUAUAGGUCUGCUUUGUCCGUUCGCCUUAGUGCCUCAUCCUGCCGGAGAUCCUCCACAGAUAA
Acanthochromis polyacanthus (spiny chromis) is the source of this 1273-nucleotide long non-coding RNA. RefSeq lists it as uncharacterized. Lineage: Eukaryota; Metazoa; Chordata; Actinopteri; Pomacentridae. The record is from RefSeq and is a predicted model, not a curated record. The transcript has 4 exons.